RNAcentral lists this ribosomal RNA (423 nucleotides) under uncultured archaeon. RNAcentral's name for it is "partial 16S ribosomal RNA". It matches the Rfam family "Archaeal small subunit ribosomal RNA", at positions 323 to 746 of the family's 1478-position model. The record is from RNAcentral.
CUACGGGCCGCUGCAGUCGGGAGUUUUUUGCAAUGCGCGCAAGCGUGACAGAGCGAACCAGAGUGCUUUUCCAUAUUGGAAAAGCUUUUGUGCGAUGUAAAAAGUCGCACGAAUAAGGACUGGGCAAGACUGGUGCCAGCCGCCGCGGUAAUACCAGCGGUCCAAGUCGCAACCACAUUUAUUGGGUCUAAAACAUCCGUAGCUUGUUGUGUGAGUCCCUUGUGAAAUCCGGCUUCUCAAGAGUCGAAGGGCAAGGGAUACUGCACGGCUAGAGACUGGGAGACGUAAGGAGUACGGAUAGGGUAAUGGUAAAAUAUGUUGAUCCUUUCUGGACUAACGAUAGCGAAGGCAUCUUACGAGAACAGAUCUGACAGUCAGGGAUGAAGGCUAGGGGCGCAAAACGGAUUAGAUACCCGUGUAGUC